RNAcentral lists this ribosomal RNA (529 nucleotides) under Zeus faber (John dory). RNAcentral's name for it is "partial 12S ribosomal RNA". It matches the Rfam family "Bacterial small subunit ribosomal RNA", at positions 557 to 1367 of the family's 1533-position model. Lineage: Eukaryota; Metazoa; Chordata; Actinopteri; Zeiformes; Zeidae. The record is from RNAcentral.
GGCGUAAAGCGUGGUUAAGUACCCCCCCCCCCAACUAGGGCCAAACACCCACGAAGCUGUUAUACGCAUGUUGAGGAUUUGAAGCACCCCCACAAAAGUGGCCCUAAACCCCCACUGACCCACGAAAGCUACAAACUGGGAUUAGAUACCCCACUAUGUGUAGCCGUAAACCUUGAUGGUAACCCUCACCCCCCCCCAUCCGCCUGGGAACUACGAGCACCAGCUUAAAACCCAAAGGACUUGGCGGUGCUUUAGACCCCCCUAGAGGAGCCUGUUCUAGAACUGAUAACCCCCGUUAAACCUCACCAGCCCUUGUUAAUACCGCCUAUAUACCGCCGUCGUCAGCUUACCCUGUGAAGGCAUAAUAGUAAGCAAAGUUAGUAAAACUCAAAACGUCAGGUCGAGGUGUAGCGAAUGAGCUGGGAAGAAAUGGGCUACAUUUUCUCUUGAGAAAAAACGAAUGGUGUGUUGAAACACCCACCUGAAGGAGGAUUUAGCAGUAAGUGGUAAAUAGAGUGUCCCACUGAAA